This 497-nucleotide ribosomal RNA is filed under the name uncultured bacterium. RNAcentral's name for it is "partial 16S ribosomal RNA". It matches the Rfam family "Bacterial small subunit ribosomal RNA", at positions 28 to 507 of the family's 1533-position model. The record is from RNAcentral.
GAUGAACGCUGGCGGCGUGCCUAAUACAUGCAAGUCGAGCGAACAGACCAGGAGCUUGCUCCUCUGACGUUAUCGGCGGACGGGUGAGUAACACGUGGAUAACCUACCUAUCAGACUGGGAUAACUUCGGGAAACCGGAGCUAAUACCGGAUAAUAUAUUGAACCGCAUGGUUCAAUAGUGAAAGACGGUUUUGCUGUCACUUAUAGAUUGAUCCGCGCCGCAUUAGCUAGUUGGUGAGGUAACGGCUUACCAAGGCAACGAUGCGUAGCCGACCUGAGAGGGUGAGCGGCAACACUGGAAAUGAGAAACGGUCCAGACUCCUACGGGAGGCAGCAGUAGGGAAUCUUCCGCAAUGGGCGAAAGCGUGACGGAGCAACGACGCGUGAGUGAUGAAGGUCUUCGGAUCGUAAAACUCUGUUAUGAGGGAAGAACAAAUGUGUAAGUAACUAGGCACGUCUUGACGGUACCUAAUCAGAAAGCCACGGCUAACUACGUG